This 253-nucleotide ribosomal RNA is filed under the name uncultured bacterium. RNAcentral describes it as "partial 16S ribosomal RNA". It matches the Rfam family "Bacterial small subunit ribosomal RNA", at positions 524 to 776 of the family's 1533-position model. The record is from RNAcentral.
UACGGAGGGAGCUAGCGUUAAUCGGAAUUACUGGGCGUAAAGCGUGCGCAGGCGGUUUUGUAAGUCUGAUGUGAAAUCCCCGGGCUCAACCUGGGAAUUGCAUUGGAGACUGCAAGGCUAGAAUCUGGCAGAGGGGGGUAGAAUUCCACGUGUAGCAGUGAAAUGCGUAGAGAUGUGGAGGAACACCGAUGGCGAAGGCAGCCCCCUGGGUCAAGAUUGACGCUCAUGCACGAAAGCGUGGGGAGCAAACAGG